UGGCACGUGGCGCAGAGGUAGCGUGCGAGGCUCAUAACCUCGAGGACCCAGGAUCGAAACCUGGCGUGCCAU
This is a transfer RNA of Ectocarpus siliculosus, 72 nucleotides long. It matches the Rfam family "tRNA". Rfam says of the family: Transfer RNA (tRNA) molecules are approximately 80 nucleotides in length. Their secondary structure includes four short double-helical elements and three loops (D, anti-codon, and T loops). Further hydrogen bonds mediate the characteristic L-shaped molecular structure. tRNAs have two regions of fundamental functional importance: the anti-codon, which is responsible for specific mRNA codon recognition, and the 3' end, to which the tRNAs corresponding amino acid is attached (by aminoacyl-tRNA synthetases). tRNAs cope with the degeneracy of the genetic code in two manners: having more than one tRNA (with a specific anti-codon) for a particular amino acid; and 'wobble' base-pairing, i.e. permitting non-standard base-pairing at the 3rd anti-codon position. Lineage: Eukaryota; Phaeophyceae; Ectocarpales; Ectocarpaceae. The record is from Rfam.